GCCUAACACAUGCAAGUCGAGCGGAAACGACANNAUNGANUCUUCGGAGGAUUUGNUGGGCGUCGAGCGGCGGACGGGUGAGUAAUGCCUAGGAAAUUGCCUUGAUGUGGGGGAUAACCAUUGGAAACGAUGGCUAAUACCGCAUAAUGCCUACGGGCCAAAGAGGGGGACCUUCGGGCCUCUCGCGUCAAGAUAUGCCUAGGUGGGAUUAGCUAGUUGGUGAGGUAAUGGCUCACCAAGGCGACGAUCCCUAGCUGGUCUGAGAGGAUGAUCAGCCACACUGGAACUGAGACACGGUCCANACUCCUACGGGAGGCAGCAGUGGGGAAUAUUGCACAAUGGGCGAAAGCCUGAUGCAGCCAUGCCGCGUGUAUGAAGAAGGCCUUCGGGUUGUAAAGUACUUUCAGUUGUGAGGAAGGGUGUGUAGUUAAUAGCUGCGCAUCUUGACGUUAGCAACAGAAAGAAGCACCGGCUAACUNCGUGCCANCAGCCCGCCGGUAAUACGGAGGGUGCGAGCGUUAAUCGGAAUUACUGGGCGUAAAGCGCAUGCAGGUGGUUCAUUAAGUCAGAUGUG
This 574-nucleotide ribosomal RNA is filed under the name marine gamma proteobacterium AF1. RNAcentral describes it as "bacterial SSU rRNA". It matches the Rfam family "Bacterial small subunit ribosomal RNA", at positions 46 to 596 of the family's 1533-position model. Lineage: Bacteria; Pseudomonadati; Pseudomonadota; Gammaproteobacteria. The record is from RNAcentral.